Cyprinus carpio carpio is the source of this 3744-nucleotide long non-coding RNA. The record is from Ensembl. NCBI's taxonomy places the organism in Eukaryota, Metazoa, Chordata, Actinopteri, Cypriniformes, Cyprinidae.
CUGGUUUUCAAAAUGAAAUUUAAGCUUGGAACUAAACAAAGUUUUAGAAUGCUCAAACAUUAAAACAAAUAAAUGUUCUGGUACAAAUAAAAUAAAAUAAAAAUAUUUCAGAUUCUGAGUUACUGAUCAAAUACGUUUGUGAUCACGUGACUGUGUACAGACGGUCAGAUCACGAUCAAUCACAUUUUAAUCAUGAUCGAUUUCUGCUUCUCUAAGCAUUAAUUGCAUUAAUUAAGCAUAAUCAUCCACAAUACUGGCCUGCAGGUUAUUUAUCCUGACAGUUUUUGUUGUUGUUUUUCCUAUUUGACAUUUCUGUUAUCUUGCAUCAGGAUCAAGUCUCUAUAAGCUUUUAUAAGGUUGGCAGAUGUUGCCAAAUGUGAAGAGUUCAAAUCCCCAAUCAGAGCUUUACUCUUAAAGGUGCAGUAGGAGAUCUUGGAAAAUGCUAACUUUAGCCUGAUAGCAUUGAAAGCGAACGUCCCACCCUCCCUGCAAAUCGCCGUCCAAAGCCACGCCCCCUGAAUGCAUAUACACUCACAGACCAUAUGACCAGAGACAACAUUACUACAAUACAUCAUGUGUCAUUCACUGGUGAGAAGACUUUAUAGCACACUUAGUAAAAGUACUACAAUACCAGGAAGGAAGAUCGGGUUGUUGAUGUUUGUCUGCCAUUCUCGCUCUGUCUGCACAGUGUGCAUGAACGCGCUGAUGACGUAUCGUGUCUGCGUGAAGAGGGUGCACAGAGGUGCGGUAUGGACUGAGACGGAGAGAUAUUCUGAAGAUGUCGGAUGGGGAGAGGAAAGAGAGAGACAGAUGCCAGGGUGUGUCAGUCCACACCAUGAGAUCCAAUCAAACUCAAUCACCCAGCUCUGACUAGUAAACAUGAAUACUCAGCCAAAUAAUUUAUGCAUCUAUGCCCACCUGAAUUUUUUUUAUCUGGUCCGCCUCAUUUUUACUCUGGACAAUACACACGAGGACGGCAGAAGAGCUCAGUUGAAGACUUUUUCUGGCUGAUGUAAUGCAGUCAUGAAUACUCUCUCUCUCUCUCUCUCUCUCUCUCUCUCUCUCUCUCUAUAUAUAUAUAUAUAUAUGGAAACUUUAAAUGUAUUAGAUAAGAUAUUACGGAUGCUAUUAAAAAUGGUUUAAAUCUUAUCAGAUGUCUGUCAGAAUGAUAUUUAAUUCACUGUAGUGACAAACUGUAUUUAAACUAAAUAUGGAGCGUUAGCCAUUCCAAAAUAUGUUUCUUUUCUUUUUAUUAUUUUUUUGUAUAUUGAUGUUAAUGUUAUGUAUACUGGUCUUGCUGUUCUUACAUAAUCAAAAAUUAAAACCUUAUAAAAUGUAUAUAAAAAAAUUAACAUAUUUAAUUUGACCUCUAAAGAUACUGUACAUGUAAUUGAAUGCAUGAUAAAACAUCCAUUCACCCAUUUUAUCAUCCACCAGUCAAAAAAAAUAAAAUAAAAUGAAUUUGUCUAGAAAGAUAAGCACAUGUACAUAUAAUUUGAGGUAUCAUUCAAGUCCACACAUUUAAAACAAACUCCUGAAACAGCAAUACCACACAAGAACCACCUUAUUAAAAACAUCAAUUCAUGCCAAACAUUUUAUUCAACAUUCAGUUGCAGUACAAAAAUGCCAUAAAAUAAGCAGUAAAAACUGAAUAUUAUAGUGUAUUUUACCUUGUCCUUAUUGCCUAUGGCAUGCAUGUGAAGUGCUUUUUGCAGAGCUGGUCAACAGGGAAAAUAAAACGUUAUGAGUAUUUGUGAGGCAGGCCAUAUAUCACUAGUCUGGUAAGAUGACGCUGCACACGUACAGACACAAAGAGUGUGUAGUACACCGACACACAAGAAUGCACAAAAAUGAAAAACUGUCAUGUAGAAAACAAAAGCAACAUAUAAACACAGCAAGCAUUGUCUUUUUAGUGCACUGUAAUGGUUUUAAUGCGCUAAAUUCAUUUGACUUAUAAGACACUGUAUAAAAGCACCAAAACAGACAACUGCAAGGUGAGUUGCAAGGUCUGUUUGUGAGCGUUUUUACAUGUCGCAAGGGGUGCCAGGGAUUCGUCCUUUGCCUGAGCUGUCAGCAAAGGUAAGGGACAUUCAGAAAGUAUUAAAGACAUUCAUCAUCAAUGGAAAAAUGCACAAAGAAUUUAAGAUCAUCUUAAAUGAGGGCUAUGAAUCAAUCUUUAAAGCAAACCUUUAGAAGAAGACUCCAAGUGAUAUCUAAAAAGCCGCCGUGUUUUUUUAUUUCUUUUUUUUCUUUUUCAGAAACACAAACACACACUGUCCAAUUGAACUCUUUUUGUGAAGGGCACACUUGCUCUUUAGGGUGGAAGAUGAAAGACAGAGCGUGUGUUUUGGCCAGCUCUCUUGACAAUGUGUGAUGUUAUUGCAUGUCACUUAUCAAAACUAAACUGAGACAGACCAAAGGGCUCCAGUAAAUAGACCGUCUCCUAGCAACAUCUUGACUGAUGACUUUUCUUCUCUCACUGGUUCACUCAGUCAGACUCUACUGAAUGGCAACUUACUCCUCAUGUGUCUCCUGUUUUAAGACAGAAGAGAUGUGUCCAUCCACAAUGAAAGCGAAAAUGUUCUGACAUGACUCAAUUACAGCCAAUCAGAACAUUUUUGAUGAUUUUUGAACCAAGAGAAAUUAGAGAUGCAAGGGAACCACAUCCCCAUAAAGCACUGCAAAUGACAAUCAAAAAAUAAAUAAAAAAUAAUGUAGGAAUAUAAAACUAUUGAUUUAUUGAUUUAGAUUUUAUAUAUAGAAACAAUGGGUCUCAUUCAUGAAACAUUCGUAAAUAUAGGAAUAAAUUCUGAGUAGGCUAAUUUGCACAUAAAACGGACCUUCCCGAAAACUCUCCUCCAGAUUCACAAACGCUUCGUAAACUUCCGAUUUGAUAGUUAAACAUGUGUAUGUUAAUGAAUUCCAGUCAUUCGUAAAUGGGCACUCAUGCACUCUCAUUCACAAUUAGCAUAAUCCCUGUUUAUGAAUUACAGCUACGCAAAUGGAAUAUUCUAAAAACGGCCAGGUGAGACGCUUUGGUUGAUAUGAUUAGGAAAACCCGGCAGUAACGUAUUAUUAGUAUCUCAUUGUGCAGAAUAUUACUAAAUAUAAAAAUGCAGUAACCAGCCAUAUUAAAGGCACAAUACGUAAGAUUUUAUUUAUUAAAAUAUCCAAAAACUGCUUGAACAGUGACGUCAUAACCCCUCGAUUCCCGGUUUUGUUCUGUAGAAAACAUAUAGAAACACCAAAGACGCUUUAAUAUGUUACACGUUUUAAUAGACCAGUGACGACCGCACAGAGUAGCAUUAUAACAGAACUUUCACACAUAUCUAGUAUGAUAAAACAGUGCUGCUUUUUUCCCCCACAUUCGCACAACCGGAAGGAGCGGAAGCGGUUGACUGUGACAUAAUAAAAGCUCAGCUGCUUUCGAGCCGUGUGUCACGCUCGUUCAGAGGCCUCGUUUAGCUUCAACGGCUUUCAGCCUCACCCUGUUUCAUUCCACUACAUUAAUAAAUCAUUAGCUCAUCCAUGAACAUGAUUUCUGCCCGAGUCGUGUCGGAUUGCAUCGUCUGUGGGGAUGAAGACCACAUCUCCCGUGAUUCCACACUCAGUCACAGCAUCAUCAAACUACGCUACCUGGUCUUUGUUUAUUUUGAAUAUGCGCCCUCUAGUGGACUUUUAAAAUAUUAUAAUGGCAGUGCAGUGUCAUCAGUUUGCCAAAAAGAACACAGGAUGUUUUACGCA